RNAcentral lists this ribosomal RNA (1142 nucleotides) under uncultured bacterium. Its description in RNAcentral is "bacterial SSU rRNA". It matches the Rfam family "Bacterial small subunit ribosomal RNA", at positions 202 to 1356 of the family's 1533-position model. The record is from RNAcentral.
GGAAAGUUUUUCGGUUGGGGAUGGGCUCGCGGCCUAUCAGCUUGUUGGUGGGGUAAAGGCCUACCAAGGCGACGACGGGUAGCCGGCCUGAGAGGGCGACCGGCCACACUGGGACUGAGACACGGCCCAGACUCCUACGGGAGGCAGCAGUGGGGAAUAUUGCACAAUGGGGGAAACCCUGAUGCAGCGACGCCGCGUGAGGGAUGACGGCCUUCGGGUUGUAAACCUCUUUCAGUAGGGAAGAAGCCUUUCGGGGUGACGGUACCUGCAGAAGAAGUACCGGCUAACUACGUGCCAGCAGCCGCGGUAAUACGUAGGGUACAAGCGUUGUCCGGAAUUAUUGGGCGUAAAGAGCUCGUAAGCGGUCCGUCGCGUCUGCUGUGGAAACGCAAGGCUCAACCUUGCGCGUGCAGUGGGUACGGGCGGACUAGAGUGCAGUAGGGGAGUCUGGAAUUCCUGGUGUAGCGGUGAAAUGCGCAGAUAUCAGGAGGAACACCGGUGGCGAAGGCGGGACUCCGGGCUGUUACUGACGCUGAGGAGCGAAAGCAUGGGGAGCGAACAGGAUUAGAUACCCUGGUAGUCCAUGCCGUAAACGUUGGGCACUAGGUGUGGGGCUCAUUCCACGAGUUCCGCGCCGCAGCUAACGCAUUAAGUGCCCCGCCUGGGGAGUACGGCCGCAAGGCUAAAACUCAAAGGAAUUGACGGGGGCCCGCACAAGCGGCGGAGCAUGCGGAUUAAUUCGAUGCAACGCGAAGAACCUUACCAAGGCUUGACAUACACCGGAAUGUGCCAGAGAUGGUUCAGCCCUUUGGGCUGGUGUACAGGUGGUGCAUGGUUGUCGUCAGCUCGUGUCGUGAGAUGUUGGGUUAAGUCCCGCAACGAGCGCAACCCUCGUUCUAUGUUGCCAGCACGUGAUGGUGGGAACUCAUAGGAGACUGCCGGGGUCAACUCGGAGGAAGGUGGGGAUGACGUCAAAUCAUCAUGCCCUUUAUGUCUUGGGCUUCACGCAUGCUACAAUGGUCGGUACAAAGGGUUGCGAGACCGUGAGGUGGAGCGAAUCCCAGAAAGCCGAUCUCAGUUCGGAUCGUAGUCUGCAACUCGACUACGGAAGUCGGAGUCGCUAGUAAUCGCAGAUCUGCAAC